Molecule: non-coding RNA, 72 nt
Organism: Dipodomys ordii (Ord's kangaroo rat)
Lineage: Eukaryota; Metazoa; Chordata; Mammalia; Rodentia; Heteromyidae
Source: Rfam
UAGGACAUAGCUCAGUGGCAAAGUGCUUGCCUAGCAAGUGCAAUGUCCUGGGUUCAAACCCCAGUAUCACAA